Molecule: ribosomal RNA, 253 nt
Filed under: uncultured bacterium
Lineage: Bacteria
Description: partial 16S ribosomal RNA
Rfam family: Bacterial small subunit ribosomal RNA
Source: RNAcentral
UACGGGGGGGGCAAGCGUUGUUCGGAAUUACUGGGCGUAAAGGGCUCGUAGGCGGCCAACUAAGUCAGACGUGAAAUCCCUCGGCUUAACCGGGGAACUGCGUCUGAUACUGGAUGGCUUGAAUCCGGGAGAGGGAUGCGGAAUUCCAGGUGUAGCGGUGAAAUGCGUAGAUAUCGGAAGGAACAUCGGUGGCGAAGGCGACUUUCUGGACAGCUACUGACACUGAGGCACGAAAGCAUGGGGAGCAAACAGG